Molecule: ribosomal RNA, 255 nt
Filed under: uncultured bacterium
Lineage: Bacteria
Description: partial 16S ribosomal RNA
Rfam family: Bacterial small subunit ribosomal RNA
Source: RNAcentral
UCUUUCUUUGCUGGCGACCGGCGCACGGGUGAGUAACACGUAUCCAACCUGCCCUUUACUCGGGGAUAGCCUUUCGAAAGAAAGAUUAAUACCCGAUAGUAUAAUGAUUCCGCAUGGUUUCAUUAUUAAAGGAUUCCGGUAAAGGAUGGGGAUGCGUUCCAUUAGGUUGUUGGUGAGGUAACGGCUCACCAAGCCUUCGAUGGAUAGGGGUUCUGAGAGGAAGGUCCCCCACAUUGGAACUGAGACACGGUCCAA